Ostrea edulis (European flat oyster) is the source of this 1015-nucleotide long non-coding RNA. RefSeq lists it as uncharacterized. Lineage: Eukaryota; Metazoa; Mollusca; Bivalvia; Ostreida; Ostreidae. The transcript has 2 exons. The record is from RefSeq and is a predicted model, not a curated record.
CCUCCUAUUUCCGGAUUUCAUCGAUCGGAAUAUUUUCUUUUGAAUAAAUAUAGAAUGAAGCAAACCCAUGCAAUAGCACAUUUUCGAGUUAGUGCCGGAACGCGUGUUUAUUCUAGAUUUUAUAUAACGUGAUCACGUGAUUUCAAGAUUUGGUUAGCCUUCGAUACUUCCGGUAAAAUAGCAUCUGUUGGGAAGAAAACGAAGGGAUCAAAAGCAAGAUACUACUGCUCAGGGUGAGGACUCGUGGAAGAUGGGAAAGUAUGGUUAUACAAAAAACAUUAUAUUCUAUCCCUUUCUGGCACAGACAAAAGAUCCGAAAAGCGUGAUUAAAGUUGAUGAAACAAAUAGAUUACGAACCUUCGAAACAUCAUGAACUUGUACUAGUUAUAGACUGUACUCCAAACACUUCGUAGAUUGAACGCCUACAAAGGAAAACCCCUACCUGACUGUUUGCCAACAACAACUAUAAACAGCCUUUGAAGUUGAAAAGUACGAGUUCUUUCGACAAGCGGGACGUCGAGCCAUCCAUCUCACAGUAGCAUGAACUGAUAUCGAAACUUUGUUUUAGUGAUGAUAAUUAUUCCACUAAUCGCAAUUAUAUUGGUUUCUCGUCACCUCGAAACAUCAAGAAAACAGCUGAAAUGGAAGUACAGACCGAUAUAAGAAUGGAAGAAAUGACAAAGCUCCUGGAUUUGAAGUCGAAAUCCUAGAACCCUGAUGUUGUUUGUCCAGAGAGUCGCGUGUACAUCCAGUGACGGGAGCGUGAAACAGCAUACUGGAGUGUCAUUGAAUAUUUGCACUUUCCAUUAUCGCAACAAUAGAUUCUAGAUCGAUUAGAGAAUAUUCAUGAAAAUGUGGGAGCAUUUUUUAUAAAGUGUAUUAUAAUUUAAUGAUAGAAUGUUGUCAUUUAUGUUCUAAUGAACCGUUAUGCACUGGAAAAUUGAACGUGUUUUAAGUUUCAAAUGCGAACUAGUGCUAAUGUAAUUUCAAAUAAAGUUUAUUAUCUAUCUUCUAA